RNAcentral lists this ribosomal RNA (433 nucleotides) under uncultured bacterium. RNAcentral describes it as "partial 16S ribosomal RNA". It matches the Rfam family "Bacterial small subunit ribosomal RNA", at positions 29 to 507 of the family's 1533-position model. The record is from RNAcentral.
AACGAACGCUGGCGGCAGGCCUAACACAUGCAAGUCGAGCGAGGACUUCGGUCCUAGCGGCGGACGGGUGAGUAACGCGUGGGAACGUGCCCUUUGCUUCGGAAUAGCCCUGGGAAACUGGGAGUAAUACCGGAUGAGCCCUUUGGGGGAAAGAUUUAUCGGCGAAGGAUCGGCCCGCGUUGGAUUAGGUAGUUGGUGGGGUAAUGGCCUACCAAGCCGACGAUCCAUAGCUGGUUUGAGAGGAUGAUCAGCCACACUGGGACUGAGACACGGCCCAGACUCCUACGGGAGGCAGCAGUGGGGAAUCUUAGACAGUGGGGGAAAUCCUGAUCUAGCCAUGCCGCGUGAGCGAUGAAGGCCUUAGGGUUGUAAAGCUCUUUCAGCUGGGAAGAUAAUGACGGUACCAGCAGAAGAAGCCCCGGCUAACUCCGUG